This is a long non-coding RNA of Cyprinus carpio (common carp), 342 nucleotides long. RefSeq lists it as uncharacterized. The record is from RefSeq and is a predicted model, not a curated record. The transcript is spliced from 4 exons. Lineage: Eukaryota; Metazoa; Chordata; Actinopteri; Cypriniformes; Cyprinidae.
AGAGUCUGUUAUAAUGAUAGAGAGGUGCGGAGGUGGCAUGUUUUGUUUUUGAGAGCCACUGCACAUGACUGGCCAUGGACAGCCUGUGAUGGAAACUGAGCCAGUAUCAGCGAGGACACCAGAAGAAAGUCAUACAGCACUCCCAGAGGGAGGGUUCAGACAGCUCUCAGCCAGAGAGAAGAUGAAAGACCGCCUGUCUGCGCUUUGAACAGGGCCAUUCAAUGGGAAAGAAGCGCCGCUUAGUGUUACUCGUUGAGGCGCGCAGUGAUGACGUCUGAGCGGUGGGAAAGCGCCAGAUUCAGAUCUCAACAAUAGACAUAUUCCAGCAACUCUAAACCUUUA